ACUUUAAUAGCUUAUUUAGAGCGUAACAUUGAAGAUGUUGAGGAGAUUUAUUUUCUUAAGGUA
This 63-nucleotide transfer RNA is filed under the name Anaplecta sp. 5 ZQW-2020. RNAcentral describes it as "tRNA-Phe". The record is from RNAcentral. Lineage: Eukaryota; Metazoa; Arthropoda; Insecta; Blattodea; Anaplectidae.